This 226-nucleotide long non-coding RNA is filed under the name Coffea arabica (coffee). RNAcentral describes it as "long non-coding RNA (CARA_LNC007435)". Lineage: Eukaryota; Viridiplantae; Streptophyta; Magnoliopsida; Gentianales; Rubiaceae. The record is from RNAcentral.
AUCGUCGCACUCUCAAAACCCCCAUUUAGACCCAUUUUCCUUUUAAAUCACAAUUCAUUUUUCAAAUCACAAAUUGAAUAAAAAAAACACAUUUUCAAACCAUUUUAUUUAUUUAUCAAAAAAUGGGGCGCGACACAUGUCCACUGGAGUUCUUGUACGAACGAUUUGGGAGAAGGGACUCUUAUGAUCAACACCAUGACGACUUCUUCAUUAGCAAAGAGGAGUG